Molecule: non-coding RNA, 337 nt
Filed under: Arabidopsis thaliana (thale cress)
Lineage: Eukaryota; Viridiplantae; Streptophyta; Magnoliopsida; Brassicales; Brassicaceae
Source: RNAcentral
UGCGUGCUCACUGCUCUAUCUGUCAGAUUCCGGCUCCGAUUCGGUCCCGGUCACGUUUUUUUUUUCUAAUUGUGUUCCCAUCUCUCACUUUCUCUCUCAUGUGUUUUUCAUCUCUCAAAGGUAUGAAAUGUUAUCUUGGGGUUUUUUUUUGGGGGAAGAGGUUUGGAUUAUCUAAAUCGAUAUUUUGGUAGCCACCCCUUUCAAAUUGGUCAUGCAAAGUCAAAAAGAGAUGAAUACUGCAGGGCUUUUGCGUAACCUAUUUGUAAUAUUCUGUGGUACUGAUUAAGAGUUGAUGUGCUUUGAUCUAUUUAAUUGAUUUCGUCAUGUUGCACAUAUA